AAGAAAAAAAGAAAGAAAGAAAGAAAAAAGAAAAAGAAAGAAAGAAAGAAAGAAAGAAAGAGAAAGAAAGAAAGAAAGAAAAAGAAAAUUUCCUCCUACCCUUUGUGAUGUAAAAAGUCAGCAGGUUUCCAUUAGGGUUUGUGUGGGCAUUAACUUAAGUGAGAACCCCACCUUCACACCUUUGCUCAUAUGUGUAUGGUCCUUUGAUCCUAGAUAAUCUGCCUCUUCUCUUUCCCUUUUUGUGGGUCUAAAUUCUACUCCUUCUUUAAGCUCUAGACUUAAGAGUCUCUCCAUAAAGCCUCCCUUGAGGAUUCCAGUUCACUCUGACUUAUCUUUUUUUCUAAAUUCCUGUGGCAAACACACCUUGCAGGGACACCCCCCACCACCACCACCUCCCGGUGAGUCACACGCUUGUGUAAUCUCCUCCCCUUGCCUGUGGGCAGGACUUGUGACUUUCUUCUACGCAACAGAAUGUGGCAAAGGUGAUGUGUGUCACUCCCAUGCUAACAGUUACAUUAUGUAACACUUCCCAGCAAACUAGGAUGAAGGAGUCUCCCGCUGGCUCUGAGUUAGAAAGCUGCGGUGUUCUGAUCUGCCUAUGGAGAAGGCCCACGGCAGGGAGCUGCAGGAGCCUCUAAGAACGGAGACUUGCCCCCAGCUGACAGCCAGAAAGUAGGGGCCCUGUGUCCCGUGCCUACAAGAAGUUCUGCUGCUGACCACAUAAGCUUGGAAGGGGAUCCUGGGCUCCCCUAAGGAACAUAGCCCAGCCAACGCCUCGAUGGCAGGCUUGUGAGACCCUACAGUGGACCCAGCUGAGUCCAGACUCCUGACCCACAAAAACUAUGAAAUAAUACAUGUGUGUUGUUUUAAGGGGCUAUGUGUAUGGUCAUCUGUUGCAUGGCAGCAGAAAACCAAUGUAACCCCUGUGUAUUUAUGACAUGGCACUCCGUUUCAAUGGUGAUCAUUUAACGUCUAGUCCAGCUUUACCUUUCCAGUCUGAACAUGAGUUUCUGGAAAACAAGGAACUUGUCACAUGUGACUUGUGUCCUCAGAGAGUGGGAGAGUGAGAGGCACAAGAGAAGGAGUACUGAUGGAAUCUUAGUCCAGAAAAGGACCAGAAAGUGUCUAAUAACAGCUGCUGUAUGGGAGUAAAAUGAGUGAUAUGUGGAAAACACGUAACAUAAUGCUUAGUAUAUAGUUAUCAUUAAUAUAUAUACUAAUAGAUACCACAUCUAGCCCCAUUCCCUCAUUUUGCUGAUGAAGAAAUAGCUCCCUCCACUACCACUCUCUAAAAAAACAAAUAGACCGAGCAAUGUAUCACAACUUGUCAAAGGUCCCUCAGCAGAUCAGUGGCCAGAACUCAACACUAAGAAAGAAAAAUGAAAUGGCUUAAAUGAGGCUAGAAGGCAUGUCAUUACCCAUGGACUCAUGGGUUGAAGAAAACAAAAAGAGAGUCCUUUUUUUAGACCCUUUUCCUAAUUCUGAGUCUUCUAUCCUCCUCACUAUUUUUUCUGUACUUUCUCCAUGAAGACCACAUGAAAAAUUAUUUAUUUAUUUAUUUUUGGUAAAUUGAGUAACUGAUUUGCAAGAGUGAAUAAUACCUACAGAAUAAAGGGUAUAUGAAUCAAAUUUCUUUUAGUUGCAAGUGACAGAAACUUAAUUCAAACUAGCUUAAGCAAAAAAAAAGAGAAUUUAUGGGUUCACAUAACUAAGAAGGACACUGGGUAUUCAUGUUAACUAUAGCUGUGUAACAAACCAUCCCAAAACUUAGUGGCAUGAAACCAUCAUUUUAUUAUGCUUAUGGCCCUGUGGGUCAGGAAUUCUGAUAGGACACAUAGGGAUGACUGGUUUCUGCCCCACAGUGCCUGGGGCCUCAGCUGGGAAGACUCAAAAGCUAAGGGUGACUGGAUGCCUGAGGUCAUCUGGGAGUGUUUUACUCCUGGCAAUUGAGGCUGGCUGGCUACUGGGACUUCAGCUGGGGCUGUUUGCCUGACCGCCACACAUAGCCUCUUCAUGUGGUUUCUUCUUCUUGGCUUCUUCAAGCGUGGUGUCUGAGUUCCAAAAUCAAAUGUCCUGGAAGAAUUAAGCAGUGAUGCAUGGAAUUUUUAUGACUCAGCAUUGAAAGUCACAUGACAUCACUCCACCAUAUUGCUUUGGUCCUGGUGGUCAGAAAGGUCUGCUCAGGUACAAUAGGAGGGGACACAGACACAACCACUAGAUGAGAAGAGUGUCAAUUUUGCAACAUAAUCAGAGUAUGUGGGAUGGGAUAUAGCAAGUGGCCAUCUCUGAAAAAUACAAUCUGCCAAACUGGGAUGGCUGCUUGAUUUAAACCAAGCACUAUAGGAACCACGGCCGUAGGGACAGACACAGAGAACCCAGGACCACCUAAUUCUUUCUCAUCUGCCUUUCAUUUUUGUUCAUCUCUUCUUCUCUUUAUCUAUUAGUGAAAAACACCUUAUCUUUCUCAAAAUCCAAAUAUUUCUCAGGGAAGAACUUUGACCCUUUCAUGUGCCCAUCACCUGGACCAAUUAAAGUUGCCUGGACAAAGAACUAGGAUUGUCCAAACCUGGAUCACUCAUCCACGUCACAAGCCAAAAGAAAGCUUUUGGGUAAACUAUACCAAGUAGCUGGCACCACCUACCACGGGCUUCACUUCGGUGAGCGCUGGCAUCAGCUUAGUGUGUGGCCAUGAUCAUGUCACUCUAGCAGCAACCAGUGGCCGCGAUAUUUCAGAGCCCUUCACCUGGCCAUCUUCAUAUCAUGCCCUUGUCUCCCACUUUGCUACAUACCACCUCUCCAAGAUUUGCUGGGCUUCCUCUUGGAAGGAAAAGCUCCCUGGCUCUUACAGCCACACUGGCUUGUUUUUUUCCAUCAGCCCCUCUCACCACACCUCUUCUGUUUCAGAGGGUCAUUCCCAAAUAACAUUUUUCACUGUCCUUCCAGUUGUAACUCCCAAGGCAGUGGUCACUGUGUUAUCUGUGUCUCUCUUCGUUUUCUCCAAUGCCCCCCACUUUUUCCUCAAAAUCAAACUUAAUUUUCCAUGGGUCCUUUUUCCCAGAAAUUACUUCCCAGAGCCAACAGUUCAGAAAUAAUACAAUAGGUUGGGAGAUCACAUAGCAGAAAGACCAGUCCUGAGUCACUAGCAUCAUCCAGUGGAAAAAGGGAGUGAGACUUGUAUCCUCUGCAUUCCUGCUUAGCUGUAAUCCUUAACAUGUCAUUCAGUACGUUUUUGGCUGCAAGUACAGAAAAUUUUAAAGUGCUUUAAACGACAAGGAAAUUUAUGAUCUCACAUAAAUAGCAAGAUUAAGGUGGGGAGUUCCAGUGUUGAUUAACUCGGCAGCUUAUUCAUAUCAUCAAGGAUCAGAUUCCUUCCAUCUCUCUCCUUUGCCACUUCAACAUUUGGCUGACUCCUCCCAUGGUGGCAAGAUGGCUGCUGAGUUACACGCGUCACACACACAUGUGACCACUUUAAGAAGCAGAAAAUAGGAAGUUUCUUCUUGUGUCUACUUGUAAAAGCAAAGGAACUCUUUCUAAAAGUCUUGCAUCAGUUUUCUCUAAUGUCUCAUUGGCCAAAAGUGUAUCACCUAAACCAAUCAUUGGCAAAGGAACUGAAAUUACUGUGAUUGAUUCAAACUAAUCAAGACUUACUCAUGGAGCUAAGAGUAGUCCCUGGCAUAGCUUGCCAGUAAAUGGGAGAACAAAAUUGGGGCUCUGCCAAAAGAAAGAAGGGUGUGAGGGAUAUAGAUUUGGAGACGCAGCCUGUCAUAUCGAUGCACUUAUCUUCUCUUCAACUCGGUUUCUCCGACUGUAAACUAGAGAUGAUGAUGCCUACUUAAUCUAUACAUGGAGAUACUUUAAGAAAUAAGAUUUUGCAGGAUACACUUACAAAACAGUGUGGCUCAUCGGUUAAGCAUCCGACUCUUGAUUUCGGCUCAGGUCAUGAUAUCAGGGUUGUGAGAUCAAGCCCUGCAUGGGGCUCUGUGCUGGGCAUGAAGCCUGCUUAAGAUUCUCUCUCUCCCUCUGCCCCUCCCCGCCUCUAAAAAAAAAAAAUAAUAAUAAUAAAACAAUGAGGCACAUGCUACAACGCCCAUGAAUCUGAAAGAUGUGCUAAGUGAAACCAGCCCGUCACAGAAGAACAAAUAUGGUAUGAUUCCACUUAUAUGAUUCCUAGAGUAUUCAAAUUUAUACAGAAAGUGGAAUGGUAGUUGCAGUGGCUGGGGGAGGAGGAAAUGGGGAGUUAGUGUUUAAUGGGUUCGGAGUUUCAGUUGGGGAAGAGGAAGAAGUUCUGGAGGUGGAUGGCGGUGACGGUCGAACAACAACGUAAAUAUACUUAUUGCCACAGAAUUAUACACUUAAAAGUCGUUAGAAUGAUAAGUUUUAUGUCUAUUUUAUCACAAUAAAAAUUUAAUAAAAUAGUGAGGCUAUUUAAGAUAUACAAUGAAGGAACUUCACUAAACUUGAAAAAGGUACAAAUGUAUAAUACAAAUUCAUGGUUCCCUCGGAUAACCUAAUGUUGAGCUUUUGCCCAUUUUAAUUUGUGGGUGAGAAUCAUUUCCUAGCCUCGGCAAUCACUACCGCCCACAUCACAUCUCAUCCUUCCCUCUUUUCUCAAACCCACUGUAACUCCCAAGGCAGUGGUCACUGUGUUAUCUGUGUCUCUCACCAGUCGUUUUGACUGGUGUGCAGAUGAAGAAAUUCCAUCCGCCAAAAGUGCCCUGCAAGGGAACCCCCACACACAGAAUGGAACCAGCUAUGAAACCUACUGCCUUUCCCCUUGAAGGUUACCUGCCCCUUCCUCCAUCUCCUAGUCCUCUUUCAGUACAGCUGGGUCUCCCCACACCCAUGCCAAGAGCCUUUGGGACAAGGAGGCAGAGAGGAAGACCCGGGGCUAGGAAAGGCACAGGCACUUAGCACCGGCAGGUGCUGGCAGCGCUCACAGAGCCUAUUUACUGACAACACAUAUCUACUAAUAUUUCCUAAUCCCUCAGAUGUUUGCAAAUGAGACCAAGCUGUGAGGAGCUGUGCAGAGAAGUGAGUUGUGUAUCCAACCCCAACAACCAUUCAUGGAGGGCCACGUCAUUCCACCGGAAGCUAGCAAAGCCGCACCCCAUGUCCAGUGCCCAGAGCUGAGUGCUUCUGUUACAUAAACUUAUAAUCAGAAGUCUCUGUUCAUAUUUAACCUACUCCCUCCAAACAGUCUUUUCCAAAACAUCUCGAUUAUGAAGAUCUUCAACAGGGAGCACACAUCACUCCCUUAACUGCAUGUCCCAGAGCUUAAUCACAGGAUCAGAAAAUUUCUCCUUACGUGUAAUCUUAUUCUUAAAAUAGAUUCUAGGCAAAUAGCCUCCAUUAAAAGCUUUGAAUGCUGUGUGCCUUUCAAAGCACAAACAUCGAAUGUUAGCAGUUUUCUGCAUUUAGCUCCUGAUACCAGGCAGUGCUCCAAGGCUCCCUUCAGGAAGGAUUUUGUUUCAUUCUGUGAUCCUGGUCAGUCACCUCGCAAAACACUGUGCUGGUUACAGGAAAGAGAAUCCAUUUCUGUUCAGCUGGCAUUGGCUGAGUAUCCACAAUGGGCCAGGCACUGGGCCAAGGCUGGAGACACAGGGAUAAAUCAUUAGCCCUGCCCUGCAGGAAUUCUCAGGUCUGGGGGGGAGAGGCAGACAUGAAAACAAACAAUUAUUGCAGAAUGGGAUAAGUUUUGGACCAGCUGCUAUGGGAGCACUGAUUAAUUGUUGGGGAUCCUCUGGGGAGUCGGGAAGACUUCACCAAACCGUGUCAUUUGAGUGGGGUUUUGAAGGUUGAAAAGAAGCUUGUUAGAAAGCUAAGGCAAGGCAGAGAGUGCCAGGCAGAGGGAACAGCAAAAGCAGAGAGGUGGGGAAGGACACAGUCUGUUUUGGAAACUCACAAGGUGAUAGAGGUCCAGAAAUGAGGCUGGAUGAGUAAGGCAGUGAGCCGCUUAAUCCCAACCAUCACCCCUUCACAGCCCUUGGGCAGGUCAUCUGGAAGCUAUGGGCUUUCGUGAUGAUCUGAAAUGUGAUUAUUGCUGAUUGGAAUUCUGGAAGAGGAUAAGCCAAGCCAGUACCCAGUCCUCCUUGACAUCCUCACCGAGCUUCCUCUCCUUUCCACAUAUUAAUGUGUCCAGGCUGGUGCUCUUCAUUCGAUGACACAUGAUAAUUUGGGUUAUUUUACUCUAUCUCAAAAAAACAAACAAAAAAAUAGUGGUAGCUUGGCUGAGCUCUUUGGAAACUUCCAGAACUAAUUCUUUCCUGAGUAAGGGCUUACUAAACAUGAGCAAAAUAAACUGAAACUUCUCAAGUAGCUUUAGGAAAUGCUGGUCUAACACAUGAGCCUCACAAACAAGGUUUUAAAAUCACCUUUUAGCCUGCCAAACUUUUUAUCAGCCUGUAAAAUGCUCCCAGCUCUUCUCAAAGCUCUGCCUCUGAUGAUGUGAGCUACUGUAGGCAACUUAAACUGGGACAGGGAUACAUUUUCAAUUUUUCAUAAAAUAUUUACUUUCCUAGAAUCCAAUUUCUUUUUAGCCCUCGUCUUUCAUCUUUUUGAUGCUAGACUUAAUUUGCAAAAUUGCUCCCUUGUCUCACCCCAACCCUGCUGGCUGCCCUUUGCUAAAGAAGUGAGUUUGCCAUUUACAACAGAACUCCGGGACCCCAGGGAAGGUCCAGGACAGAGCCUGCCUCUUCUCUUCCUGUGGGGCCCGCCACGGCCACCUGCCCAGGUGCUCGAGGACCUACUGCCCUCUUGUGGCUGCAAUGUGCGGUGCAGCGGUACCUCUACUUGGCAAACAAAAAAUUCUUCUCUGUUUUUCAGGUUUGCUGAGUAAACGUGCUCUGAAAGCGUUCCCCCACAAGACCCACACCAUUUUAGAGCUGAAAGUGACCUUAGUCCAACCCCCAUUUUUUUGGCUUUCUUUUUAAAGAGAAGGAACCCAAGGAUCAGAGAGGUUCUGUCACUUGGCCAAGGACACAUCCCAGUUAGAGAAGAAGCCUGGGAUGGAACUCCCAUCCUCAUUGGAAGACAAGGAAGGAAGAGGGAGUUGCCAUUUGAAGUUUAGAAAGACACGAUGAUGCUGAAGAGUUGCAGACUUGGUGAGCCAGGAACCAACUAAGAGAGAAGAUGAAAGUAAUUUAAAAAAAAAAAAAAAGGAAAGGAAAAGAAGAGAAAAGAAAAGAAGAAAAGAAAAAAGAAACAGAAGUAGAACGCCAUCUUCAGCACAGAGGAGAAUACAGGUUUCUUCUCAACCAGUAAAGACUUACUGAGCAUCAACUUUGUGGCAUAGUAAAGGCAGCCAUUGCGGGGACGGGAGAUGGCCCUGACCUUUAAGAGCUUGCAGUCUAGUUGGGCAAGCAAACAUAAGCAAAGUCUGGAUUACAAUGUCUACGCCCUAGAACGGGGUGGUACAGAUCAUUUGUGUUGAGUUCAGAAAGGGAACACACAGCACAGGCUUGAGAAUUCUGGGAAGCCUUCCUGGCAGAGGAACACAGGCCAUCUUGAAGCAUGAGUGAAUUUCCUUGAUGUUAUCUUUGAUUCUUUUCUCUCCAUGUCCUGCGUUCAGUUGGUCCGUCACCAGGACCUAACCCUUCUUUCCAAAUGGCUCUCACAGCAGUCCCUCACUUUCCAGUUGCGUGGCCAUUAGCCCAGGUCCUUCUCUCAUUACUUCAUGCCUGGAGGUGCCCUCACAGACUGUUAACUCGUCUCUCUGCCGGCAGCCUUUACCUCUUCAAUCUGCAUCGUCCACCUCUUUGGGAUUAGCCUUCAUUCCCACUUCCCUUCAACUGACAUUUAUUGAGCAUCUACUUUGUGCCAGGAACACACUUCUAUGCACUAGGGAUUCAGUGUUGAACAAGAUGGGCGAGGAAGACCCCUGUGCCCCUGAAACCUACUCACUAGUUUUAAAAGUCUCCAUCGGAGACCUGUUGCUGUAAUGAUUAGAGUCCGGACUCUGGGGGCAGUGCCCACCCUAGCUGCUUCCCCUGCCCGCUAGGCCCCCACUACUCCUCCAGCAGGACUCUUCAACUGUGCUCACCAUCCCCCACACAGGCUGAUUAUUUCUAACUUGGGCUUUCUUUUUGCCCUUCCUCCUGGGACCUACCUGCCCGAAUCCUUCAGGGUCUGCUUCUAACCCCUCAUCCUCUCCACCCUUCUCUCACAGCACUACUUGCCUCUCUCGUGUUAGCAUUCCACACGUCGUUAUUUUUCCCCUACCUGCCCAAUGAGAUGGUAAGCUUCUGGAUUUUUCCAUUCUGAUCUCCCUUAGCACCUGGCACAAUACUGUGCAAGUAAUAGGUUUCUUUCUCUUUCUCCUCCUCUUCCUUUUUAAUUCCUAAUAAUAAAAACUAACAUCUGUAAAGCACUUUACAAAGAGUUUCCGUGAACAUUAUCUUCCACACGCUGCACAAUAUCCUUGUGUUGAUGAUCAGUAAAUAUCUAACAGGCUAACAGGUCAAACGAAGAAGGCAUUCCAGGUGAAGGAAACAACACCAGAACAUGUACAAAGACAGGAAUGAUCCCCACAGGAGCCGACGGCGGUGUGGGAAGCAGCCUUGCUGGAGGGAGAAGAAUGAGCGCCAUAGGAAGUUUGGGAAAUGAAGGGUCAAGAUAACACAAACCAAACAGAAAAACAAACCACGCUGCCCUAGCAUGAAGCACUGCAACAAAGCUCUUGCGCAGAGAGAAGAGGUAGAACGAAUCCAGGUCUUGAACGAGACUUCAAAGUACUCUACAAGCACCUGCCUGGGCCUGCAGCGCCGCUGACUUUCCUUUCACCUGAACCGAAGACUGAUCCUGUGUUGCUUAAGCCAGUUGGACUUGCAGCCCACGUUAUCCCCCCCCGACACCCUUGUCUCCCUUACUGCUGUCACCCUACUGGAAUCCUCAGUCCAAGGCUAAGUGGCGGCAGAGUGGGAGCUUAAGAAACGUGUGUAUGAACUAUUCAUUCUUACAUUGACCAGUGGUCCAAGGGGAUCUUAGUAUUUUUAUAUUUGCGCUUAUCAGUAAAAAUGCUACAUUUUCAUCAUCUUUGUCACUAAUAAUUCCUCAUUCACUUUUGGCCUCCUUUAGCUUAAUUCAGAAUUCCACAUUUUUGUGAAUUAAAUUUUUUUUAUUGAGGUAUAAUUGACAUAUACCUUCAUGACCUUUAGUACUAAAAUUCUAAAUGGAUCUCCUCUCAGAGUUAUUAUAUUUUUUCCUACAGUUAACUUGUAAUAUUUAAUUUAACUGGAAUUUAUCUAGGUGUACUGUUUAAGGAUAGAGCCCUCUACUUCCUCCCCCACACCCCAAAUUUUAACCAACUGUUCAAAUGCCUUUCUCCCCAUUGUUCUUUUUCUUUUUCUUUUUUUAAAAGAUUUUAUUUGUCAGAGAGAGAAAGGGCACAAGCAAGGGGAGGGGAAGGCAGAGCAGGCUCCCCACUGAGCAGGGAGCCCCUGCGGGCUCAAUCCCAGAACCCUGGGAUCAGGACCCGAACUGAGCCAAAGGCAGACGCUCAACUGACUGAGCCACACAGACAUCCCCCCAUUGUUCUUUUUAAAUGCUAAUAUAAAAUGGGGUCUAUUUUUGCCUAGCCAGUCUGUUAAAUUGAUGUGUAAGCUAUAUAAUGUUUUACUACCUGCCAAGACUAAUACUCCUCCCAAUUAAGCUCUGUCUUCAACAUUUUCUUUGCCGUCUCCCCUGUUUAUUCUUUCAGAUAAAUUUUAAAAUAAUUAUAUCCAAUUCUAAAAGGACUCUGUUGGGAUUUUCACUGUAAUUAUGCAAAGCCUGAAAAUAAAUUAAGAAAUAAUUGACAUCUUUACAAUUUUAACUUUGCCAGCCAGGGAAAUUUUUCUUCAUUGACUUUUCCCGUAUUUCUCAACAAAAUUUGGUCAUUGUCCUCACAUCGCUCGUUGACAUUUCCAAUAAAGGUGAUUUCUAGG
Ailuropoda melanoleuca (giant panda) is the source of this 9920-nucleotide long non-coding RNA. RefSeq lists it as uncharacterized. Lineage: Eukaryota; Metazoa; Chordata; Mammalia; Carnivora; Ursidae. The transcript is spliced from 3 exons. The record is from RefSeq and is a predicted model, not a curated record.